Non-coding RNA from Podarcis lilfordi (Lilford's wall lizard), 238 nucleotides. Lineage: Eukaryota; Metazoa; Chordata; Lepidosauria; Squamata; Lacertidae. The record is from the annotation of a GenBank genome assembly.
AAUCUGUUUCAUUCAAUGCUUCAGCCAUUCUUGAUCAAUUCUUCAUCAGCCAGACUUGUAACUACAGUAUCAUAUGACCACUGAUCCAGAGCAUAUUUUCUACAGUGUUUAUAUUUACUUACAUGUAAGAUUGGCUUGUUAAGAAAUUGAACUGCAUCCUUCUCAUAUUAAUUCUUACAAGUCUGGCAGAUGAAUAAUUGAUCAAGACUGGCUGAUGAAGCAUUGAACGAAACAGAUU